This 464-nucleotide ribosomal RNA is filed under the name uncultured bacterium. RNAcentral describes it as "partial 16S ribosomal RNA". It matches the Rfam family "Bacterial small subunit ribosomal RNA", at positions 339 to 795 of the family's 1533-position model. The record is from RNAcentral.
CUACGGGUGGCAGCAGUAGGGAAUUUUCGGCAAUGGGGGGAACCCUGACCGAGCAAUGCCGCGUGAAUGAAGAAGGUCUUCGGAUUGUAAAGUUCUUUUAUUUGGGAAGAAAGGUACGAUUAGGAAAUGAGUCGUAUUUGACGGUACCAAUUGAAUAAGCCCCGGCUAACUACGUGCCAGCAGCCGCGGUAAUACGUAGGGGGGCGAGCGUUAUCCGGAAUUAUUGGGCGUAAAGAGUGCGUAGGCGGUCUGUUAAGUCACUUGUAAAAGAUCUCAGCCCAACUGAGUAGGGCGAGUGAAACUGGCAGACUUGAAUACGGUAGAGGUAAGUGGAAUUCCAUGUGUAGCGGUGGAAUGCGUAGAUAUAUGGAGGAACACCAAUGGCGAAGGCAACUUACUGGGCCGGAAUUGACGCUGAGGCACGAAAGCGUGGGGAGCAAACAGGAUUAGAUACCCGUGUAGUC